This 802-nucleotide ribosomal RNA is filed under the name uncultured Winogradskyella sp. Its description in RNAcentral is "bacterial SSU rRNA". It matches the Rfam family "Bacterial small subunit ribosomal RNA", at positions 395 to 1200 of the family's 1533-position model. The record is from RNAcentral. Lineage: Bacteria; Pseudomonadati; Bacteroidota; Flavobacteriia; Flavobacteriales; Flavobacteriaceae.
UGCCGCGUGCAGGAAGACUGCCCUAUGGGUUGUAAACUGCUUUUAUACAGGAAGAAACCUUUCCACGUGUGGGGAGCUGACGGUACUGUAAGAAUAAGGAUCGGCUAACUCCGUGCCGGCAGCCGCGGUAAUACGGAGGAUCCAAGCGUUAUCCGGAAUCAUUGGGUUUAAAGGGUCCGUAGGUGGAUAAUUAAGUCAGAGGUGAAAGUUUGCGGCUCAACCGUAAAAUUGCCUUUGAUACUGGUUAUCUUGAAUCAUUGUGAAGUGGUUAGAAUAUGUAGUGUAGCGGUGAAAUGCAUAGAUAUUACAUAGAAUACCAAUUGCGAAGGCAGAUCACUAACAAUGUAUUGACACUGAUGGACGAAAGCGUGGGGAGCGAACGGGAUUAGAUACCCCGGUAGUCCACGCCGUAAACGAUGGUCACUAGCUGUUCGGACUUCGGUCUGAGUGGCUAAGCGAAAGUGAUAAGUGACCCACCUGGGGAGUACGUUCGCAAGAAUGAAACUCAAAGGAAUUGACGGGGGCCCGCACAAGCGGUGGAGCAUGUGGUUUAAUUCGAUGAUACGCGAGGAACCUUACCAGGGCUUAAAUGUAGAUUGCAUUAGCUAGAGAUAGCUAUUUCUUCGGACUAUCUACAAGGUGCUGCAUGGUUGUCGUCAGCUCGUGCCGUGAGGUGUCAGGUUAAGUCCUAUAACGAGCGCAACCCCUGUUGUUAGUUGCCAGCGAGUCAAGUCGGGAACUCUAACAAGACUGCCAGUGCAAACUGUGAGGAAGGUGGGGAUGACGUCAAAUCAUCACGGCC